GUAUUGUUGAGGAGUCCUACAAUAGGACGAAACGCGCGUACAGUGC
RNAcentral lists this non-coding RNA (46 nucleotides) under Schistosoma haematobium. The record is from RNAcentral. Lineage: Eukaryota; Metazoa; Platyhelminthes; Trematoda; Strigeidida; Schistosomatidae.